RNAcentral lists this ribosomal RNA (404 nucleotides) under uncultured Streptococcus sp. RNAcentral's name for it is "bacterial SSU rRNA". It matches the Rfam family "Bacterial small subunit ribosomal RNA", at positions 976 to 1382 of the family's 1533-position model. Lineage: Bacteria; Bacillati; Bacillota; Bacilli; Lactobacillales; Streptococcaceae. The record is from RNAcentral.
AGGUCUUGACAUCCCGAUGCUAUUUCUAGAGAUAGAAAGUUACUUCGGUACAUCGGUGACAGGUGGUGCAUGGUUGUCGUCAGCUCGUGUCGUGAGAUGUUGGGUUAAGUCCCGCAACGAGCGCAACCCCUAUUGUUAGUUGCCAUCAUUCAGUUGGGCACUCUAGCGAGACUGCCGGUAAUAAACCGGAGGAAGUGGGGAUGACGUCAAAUCAUCAUGCCCCUUAUGACCUGGGCUACACACGUGCUACAAUGGUUGGUACAACGAGUUGCGAGUCGGUGACGGCGAGCUAAUCUCUUAAAGCCAAUCUCAGUUCGGAUUGUAGGCUGCAACUCGCCUACAUGAAGUCGGAAUCGCUAGUAAUCGCGGAUCAGCACGCCGCGGUGAAUACGUUCCCGGGCCUU